Molecule: long non-coding RNA, 409 nt
Organism: Ornithorhynchus anatinus (platypus)
Lineage: Eukaryota; Metazoa; Chordata; Mammalia; Monotremata; Ornithorhynchidae
Exons: 2
Source: RefSeq, a predicted model, not a curated record
CCAAGACCAAGAUCCUGCCCGAAACUGGUUCCAGCUUCCCCAGAUUCCCCCGCGAUGGCCCCAGAAUUGUCCAGGGACACCAGGACCAGGUGAGAGGGCCUGGUGCAGGGGCCAGAGCACUCGGGAGCGGGAGCGCCAGGCCCAGAGACCCGGGAGCGUGCAACCACAGCUGCUUGAUUCGAUUCUGGGCUCUGACUCUGGGCCACCGGAUCCGAUUCCAGGCACCUCCGCCAGCUUCCUGUGGGACUUGGCCCAUCUCCCCUGGGUCGUCUGUAUCCACCCUAACUUUAUGGGGAGUUGAACCCCUAACCUCCACUUCACCAUGCACUUUCUCCCAAGACAGGGGGCCCAGCUCAGGAUGUGUUAGGGCCCAACGGGGCAGAGGUGUCUGAUAAAUUGACUGACUUUU